Molecule: non-coding RNA, 114 nt
Organism: Triticum urartu
Lineage: Eukaryota; Viridiplantae; Streptophyta; Magnoliopsida; Poales; Poaceae
Source: Rfam
AUGAUACUCCCUCGUUCGAAAUUACUUGUCUCUGAAUUGGAUGUAUUUAGAACUAAAAUACGUCUAGAUACAUCCAUUUCUACGACAAGUAAUUCCGAACGGAGGGAGUACGUC